Molecule: unclassified non-coding RNA, 384 nt
Filed under: Bombus terrestris (buff-tailed bumblebee)
Lineage: Eukaryota; Metazoa; Arthropoda; Insecta; Hymenoptera; Apidae
Description: misc RNA ENSBTSG00005035548.1
Source: RNAcentral
AUAAAUUUAUCACACCGUUCUGAGCCAAAAAGACCUUUAUUGCACGUUCUUACAUGGUCUAGGGAUAAAAACAAAAGAACAACUUAAACCUAUCGAUUGUAACUAGAACUAUCUUCUAGUUACUAUUUUUUGUAACUAACGCAUCUGCAUAUGGAUGGCGAGCACGACUCACGUUGUCAUUUUCAACAGUAUUCGAUAAAGGGCUGAGUUAUAAGCCACAUUUUGCAGUACGUUCAUGCAUUUGGUAAUAGUUUCCUUUUGAUGAAUAAUUUACAAGUUAAACAGAACGAGAAGCUGACGAUUUCCAAUUUAAAUUUUUCUAUUGAAGAAGGAAGAAAAAAAAAUGAUCCCAAAUGUUUAAAAUCAUAAUAAAGAAAGGCAUAU